GACGAACGCUGGCGGCGUGCUUAACACAUGCAAGUCGAGCGGAAAGGCCCUUUCGGGGGUACUCGAGCGGCGAACGGGUGAGUAACACGUGAGUAAUCUGCCCUUGGCUUUGGGAUAACCACCGGAAACGGUGGCUAAUACCGGAUAUGACGGGCUCCGGCAUCGGGGUUCGUGGAAAGUUUUUUCGGCCAGGGAUGUGCUCGCGGCCUAUCAGCUUGUUGGUGGGUAAUGGCCUACCAAGGCUUCGACGGGUAGCCGGCCUGAGAGGGUGACCGGCCACACUGGGACUGAGACACGGCCCAGACUCCUACGGGAGCAGCAGUGGGGAAUAUUGGGACAAUGGGCGAAGCCUGAUCCAGCAACGCCGCGUGAGGGGAUGACGGCCUUCGGGUUGUAAACCGUC
RNAcentral lists this ribosomal RNA (403 nucleotides) under uncultured bacterium. RNAcentral describes it as "bacterial SSU rRNA". It matches the Rfam family "Bacterial small subunit ribosomal RNA", at positions 28 to 433 of the family's 1533-position model. The record is from RNAcentral.